AUUGAACGCUGGCGGCAUGCCUUACACAUGCAAGUCGAACGGCAGCACGGGUGCUUGCCCCUGGUGGCGAGUGGCGAACGGGUGAGUAAUACAUCGGAACAUGUCCUGUAGUUGGGGAUAGCCCGGCGAAAGCCGGAUUAAUACCGCAUCCGAUCUACGUAUGACAGCGGGGGACCUUCUGGCCUCGCCCUUUCGUGUUGGCCGAUGGCUGAUUAGCUAGUUGGUGGGGUAAAGGCCUACCAAGGCGACGAUCAGUAGCUGGUCUGAGAGGACGACCAGCCACACUGGGACUGAGACACGGCCCAGACUCCUACGGGAGGCAGCAGUGGGGAAUUUUGGACAAUGGGCGAAAGCCUGAUCCAGCAAUGCCGCGUGUGUGAAGAAGGCCUUCGGGUUGUAAAGCACUUUUGUCCGGAAAGAAAUCCUUGGCCCUAAUACGGUCGGGGGAUGACGGUACCGGAAGAAUAAGCACCGGCUAACUACGUG
This 486-nucleotide ribosomal RNA is filed under the name uncultured bacterium. RNAcentral describes it as "partial 16S ribosomal RNA". It matches the Rfam family "Bacterial small subunit ribosomal RNA", at positions 30 to 507 of the family's 1533-position model. The record is from RNAcentral.